GGCGAACGCUGGCGGCGUGCUUAACGCAUGCAAGUCGAACGAUGAAGCCGGAGCUUGCUCUGGUGAAUUAGUGGCGAACGGGUGAGUAACACGUGAGUAACCUGCCCUUGACUCUGGGAUAACUGCUAGAAAUGGUAGCUAAUACCGGAUACGACCCUCGGAGGCAUCUCCAGGGGGUGGAAAGAAUUUCGGUCAAGGAUGGACUCGCGGCCUAUCAGCUAGUUGGUGAGGUAAUGGCUCACCAAGGCGACGACGGGUAGCCGGCCUGAGAGGGUGACCGGCCACACUGGGACUGAGACACGGCCCAGACUCCUACGGGAGGCAGCAGUGGGGAAUAUUGCACAAUGGGCGCAAGCCUGAUGCAGCAACGCCGCGUGAGGGAUGACGGCCUUCGGGUUGUAAACCUCUUUUAGUAGGGAAGAAGCGAAAGUGACGGUACCUGCAGAAAAAGCACCGGCUAACUACGUGCCAGCCGCCGCCGUAA
RNAcentral lists this ribosomal RNA (484 nucleotides) under uncultured bacterium. RNAcentral's name for it is "partial 16S ribosomal RNA". It matches the Rfam family "Bacterial small subunit ribosomal RNA", at positions 28 to 523 of the family's 1533-position model. The record is from RNAcentral.